GUGUGUGAAGAAGGCCUUCGGGUUGUAAAGCACUUUCAGCGAGGAGGAAGGGUUCAGUGUUAAUAGCACUGUGCAUUGACGUUACUCGCAGAAGAAGCACCGGCUAACUCCGUGCCAGCAGCCGCGGUAAUACGGAGGGUGCAAGCGUUAAUCGGAAUUACUGGGCGUAAAGCGCACGCAGGCGGUUUGUUAAGUCAGAUGUGAAAUCCCCGCGCUUAACGUGGGAA
RNAcentral lists this ribosomal RNA (227 nucleotides) under Serratia sp. (in: enterobacteria). RNAcentral's name for it is "Serratia sp. partial 16S ribosomal RNA". It matches the Rfam family "Bacterial small subunit ribosomal RNA", at positions 401 to 620 of the family's 1533-position model. Lineage: Bacteria; Pseudomonadati; Pseudomonadota; Gammaproteobacteria; Enterobacterales; Yersiniaceae. The record is from RNAcentral.